AAAGCAUUGCUGAUCAUCUUCGUUGGAUUUUUUGCCGUUUUGCAGGUAGGUUUAUUAGCAUCUCCAGGGACAGUUGAAAGCAUUGCUGAUCAUCUUCGUUGGAUUAUUAGCCGCUUUGCAGGUAGGUUUAUUAGCAUCUCCAGGGACAGUUGAAAGCCUCGUUGAUCAUUUUCGUUGGAUUUUUGGCCGCUUUGCAGGUGAGUGUAUAUUGUGAACUUUUGCUCAAUUCAAAAUAGUUAUUAAUUAGAUGAUUCUUUUUACUUUUCUCGUUUCAGGUAGGUUUAUUAGCGUCUCCAGGGACAUUUGAAAGCCUCGUUGAUCAUUUUCGUUGGAUUUUUGGCCGCUUAGCAGGUGAGUGUAUGUUGUGAACUUUUGCUGGUUUCUAUUUAGCUACUAAUUAGAUGAUUCUUUUUACUUUUCUCAUUUCAGGUAGGUUUAUUAGCAUCUCCAGGGACAGUUGAAAGCCUCGUUGAUCAUUUUCGUUGGAUUUUUGGCCGCUUUGCAGGUGAGUGUAUA
Molecule: small RNA, 516 nt
Filed under: Drosophila mojavensis
Lineage: Eukaryota; Metazoa; Arthropoda; Insecta; Diptera; Drosophilidae
Description: GI26793
Source: RNAcentral